CACUGAAGCCACCCCUGUAACCCCCCCACUACCAAAACCUUGCCACACAAACCCAAUACAAGGACCUUCUUCUGAGGGUGAGGUUUGUCCCAGUAGCUGUGUCCCCUCCAGUCCAAUUCAUGCACAACCACGCAAGCAGUUGUCGCAGGGAGGAAGCAGGGUUUGGGAGCAGGAGUGAUGGCUGCUGGGGUGCAGAGGAAUUGCUUCAGCUGCUGUGGAAGCGCUUGCGGAACAACAGCCUCCAGAAACCUUACCAAAGCAGCUGGACAGGCAGGAUACGAUUCCCUGAGCAGCUUAAACAGCCAGCAAAGGACGUCCCGGCUCCCACUGCCCCUGCUGUUUCCCUUCUCUUGCCUCAACACCCAUCAGUGCCUUUGCAGGUGAGCAGUGAUUUGGGUCAGUGCACAGCAUCCACGAACAAUUUAACCUUAGAAAACAACAAUUAGUUCCUGGUAGUUGGGCAAGCAGGAGUGGCUUCCCAUGCAGCCACAACUGCAGUGACACAACCAAGGGCGUGGGACCUGCAGCUGCAGGAGAGGAAAGGCGGGACCGUGCAGCAAGGCCUUACAUCAGUUUACAACAAUUGCGUAAGCAAUCAUUAGGGAGCAUAACCGCAGGGCUUUAAGCCAGGAAUACAUUAUGCCAAAAAUUAUGAAAGUAUCUGAACACCUUCCUGCUCGGUAUUCUGCAAACUAUACGUUGCUUGGUCUCUCCCCAGGAGAAAUGCCUGUCUACCACAGCAUCUUCUUCCAUGGACCCUUUCCUGUGCAUGCACACUUGUGCUUUUUUUUUUUUUUGCCUUUUUUUUUUUUUUUUUUUUUUUUUUUAAACUCUUCAACUUGAAUUAGACAAGACAAGAUCAAAGAAAUUCACAGACCUGGUCAGCUCCCUGCCAUGAUGUCAACUGCCCUUUUUUAAAAGAAGGUGCAUUCCUGUGGACUAAUGUACAUGUGAUUGCAUAGUGUGGCCACUGGAUGUUGUCACUGCUCCUUAAUUUAUAAGAAUGCCACAAUCUCUGAAUUACUGUCCCCUGGAGAAACAAGGUACUCCCAAAAUACAAGGCAGCUCCAACAUGAGCUACAGCUGUUGACAGAGCACAUAAAACCACAAGUACUAGAACAUCUGAAUAAUGACAACGGGGAACAAAGCAAAUAUCACAUCUUACAGAAAAUCUAAAACAUCCAUGAUGCUUUAAAUAACCAAGGAAGCCUGGACUCCAGUUAUUGCUCCAAUGAUUUACAAAAACAUCAA
Long non-coding RNA from Aquila chrysaetos chrysaetos, 1251 nucleotides. RefSeq lists it as uncharacterized. The transcript is spliced from 2 exons. NCBI's taxonomy places the organism in Eukaryota, Metazoa, Chordata, Aves, Accipitriformes, Accipitridae. The record is from RefSeq and is a predicted model, not a curated record.